GCCCGGAUGGCGAAACGGCAGACGCUGGGGUCUUAAACACCUCUGUCCCACCUGGGACGUGUGGGUUCGAAUCCCACUCCGGGCA
RNAcentral lists this transfer RNA (85 nucleotides) under Acidimicrobiia bacterium. It matches the Rfam family "tRNA". From Rfam's summary of the family: Transfer RNA (tRNA) molecules are approximately 80 nucleotides in length. Their secondary structure includes four short double-helical elements and three loops (D, anti-codon, and T loops). The record is from Rfam by way of RNAcentral. Lineage: Bacteria; Bacillati; Actinomycetota; Acidimicrobiia.